GGGCUGUAAAUGCCGUUUUUAACAGUUUAAAGGGCUAAACUUUUGUACUUGGGAUACUUGGUGAGUUUUUUUGGGGUUGGCACUGUUCACUUAAUCUGCCGAGUAAUAAGCAUCUCAGAGCUUCAAUAUCCAUUUGAGUGUCUGGGAGGAAAUGGUUUCUCUUUCCUCGUGGCUCCAUGUGACAAGACCGUUUCUUUUCAGCUUCCUGCCUGUGUCGAGGCUUGGUGUGUUUCUUCACCUAUCCAUAAACGUGUGCUUUCUGUUGUCGACUCUAUACCCACGUGCAUUCUCAUUCCACCCUAUUAUUGGAUGUUACGUUCGGCUAAUUGGACUAGUGCAAGAUGCUCUGUGGAAGGAAUUAUAGGUGUUUGUUGGGAUUUUUUGUUUUGUUUUAUUUUUUACUCUAUGCAGUUCAUGCCAAAUUCAUAAGCUGGGGCAUUUUUGACAGAUUCAGCUUCAUGUGAGCAUCGUCAGCAUUUGUUCUGUAUAUGCUACUGCAUCUCUGUCUGCCUACAUACCAACAGUAGUCUGUUUGCUCUAGGAAUGUAAGUUAAACUUUGGAGAAUUGGGUUGUUUUGUUUUUUUUAGUAAAUAGGAAUGGCAGAAGUCAACAUUAAAUUAUCACUACCAUUCCUAGCAAAUUUGAAGCAUUUUUAGUGUGCCUAUGCUCCCACUGUUGAGCACCAAACAAUCAUGGUACUAUCAUGCAGCAGAAGUUUAUGAACAUAUGCACACAGUUAGUUUCCCAUAAAAGAAAUACUAAGAUAAUUCUACACUAUAAAUGAGUAUUUUUACUGAAAUUACAGUUUAACUGACUUACAUAUAAAUAGCUGUUUGAUACAGUUCAUAAUAUUUCACAUAUACAAAUUUAUGUUUAGACUUAGUCCAUGUGAAGCCAGUGGCUUAAUUUCUGUGCUAUCUGGCCAGGCAAUUACAGGCUCAGAGGAAAACUUUACUUGCUGAUUGUCUAAAAAUCACUAUUUUAGAAAGACUCAUAUCCAAUGGAAUCUGUGCUAGCACAGCUUCAGUGUCAGUGGUAUCAAUUAGUGUUAUUUUAGCGGUCCCAUGUCAACAGCCAUGAAAUGGCUUGUGGCUCACAGUGCGGUUUUGGGCAUGUUGCAUACAAACAGGAUGGGGGAAUGGGGGAAAAAAGACUUUUAUACAGUAAUUUCUCAUUUUGACUGUGAUAGAAUGAUUCCAAAUGUUUAAACUUCAUUUGAACUGGUUUUGAGAACAGAUGUUGAAGGAUAUAAAGAAGUAAUCAGAAUGACUGGAUUACUGUGAUUUAGUGACUUCAUAUACUUGUUAGCAUGUAUGUGGUCUAUUACUGCAGCUCAUCUCCUUGCCUGGUCCCAUUGCAAAGGGGAAGAAUCAAUGUGCUUGCAUGUCUAGUUUACAAGAUACAGUCAGAGGGAAACACAGAUUGUGCCUCAGAGAAAAUUCAUAGAUAUAUGAGUGGGUGUCAACAAAGUUAGUGAAGCUUUGAGAUUCUCUCUAAAACAGGUAGCUGGCUUUGGUUCAUGCUCAAUCUAGCCUGCCUAUUGAGUGUAGACUAGAGCAUAUUAUCACCCCUAUCAAGUCAAGGCCUGUAAUAAUUUUUUGUAUUCCAAAUGUUAUUUACACAGCUUGGACGGACACAGUCCUAGAUUCUUUGAUGGAAGUGUGGUGGCACAGGAAUAUAAAGGGAAACUGGUUUGGUAAAACAAUAUUAACUUAGCUAAAGCUCUGAUUCUUAAUAAUUCUUCCUGUCUGGAAAGCACAAGGCAGUGCUGGACAACUGUAGCUCUGUGUUUAAGUACUGUGACAGUGAAUUUCUGAGCAAGAGGGAACAUUCCGAAUGAGUCCCAAAAUAGAAGCCAGUUAAGUCUGUAAGUCCGAGAAUUUAAUGUUCUAUGGAAUCCUAUCCUAUCCUAUGGAAUUCUAUGAGCUAGCUUGUGCCUCAAAAUAUCUGGAUGCAAUUCUUCAGCCAUUAUUCUGUUAGCUCAUCCCUUAGUCAAUUAGCAAGCUAGAAAAGCAAACUGAAUGAAAAGGGUGUCAGUACUACUUGCUAAGGCCUUUAAUUGUUUCUUCAUGUUGUGUUAUUGAAGUCUUUUGUCACAAAGUCCUGGAAAAGUGAAUGGCUGAGACUUUCAAUGUUCCUGGUACCAAACACACCUUGUGAACCCUUAAGCACAAUACAGAACUCUACGCAAGUGUUCAGGAUACUGUAAGCAAAAUCCAAAGAUGAACUGCCCAGAUGGACUGUUGUGCUUUCAUUGAAUCCACUGAAGUGAAUAGGGCCUGAUGCAGCACUAGUAACAUCAAGACCUUGUUUUCCAGCAAUGUAGCUCAAGUGACAUUGAGGAGAAACUGUGCGGUUACCCAGCUGUACCGACACCAUUAGGAAGCUUGUUCUGGAUCACAGUGGGACAAAAAGGAGAAGCAUCAAUUAAAACAUCACCAUGCUGGUUCAACAAUUCAGUUCACUUCUGCUGGUAAGAAAGGACAUUGCCUGAUGACAUGGGAGGUGGGUGGAUGGGCACACAGAACUCAUUGCUGAGCUACUGAAGUUGGAAAGGCUAUGGUAAAUGAAUGACGUUUGAGCGAGGUGUGAAAUGUGAAGGUACAAAAUUAACUGCAAAAUUAUUGAAGGAGCUAAAUUGUGUAAAGAGAACCUAUAUAUACUUAUCAGAAUAUGCAAUGCAGAUGUAACCCAGGGAAUUGCUUCCAAGCUCCUAGAACAUAAAAAAUCUGUAGAAGCUAGCUGAGAAUUCUGCAAGCAUGUCUGAAUGCCAAAUCAACUGAGCAGCUCCCUGGCUCAUGCACAUGCAAAACAUUUGAAUUUCCUGUUGGCUCAGAGUGUUUGCAUUGCAAGUGACAUCUGGCUGACAGGAACUUGGAGAAAUGGGAUACAAAGUGAAUGCUGCAGUUACCACGGUAUCAUAUUUAUCAAAAGGCUUAAGAUUAGCUACCCAGGAAGAGAGUCAGAAAUAGAAAUCAUUAGCUACAGAGACAGAUGUACAGCUGAACUCUUACCAUUUGUGUGUGUGAAACCAAAGUGAAAGUCCUACCCAGAAGGUUGUUCAGCUGCUCUGAAGCUCUGUAAGGGCUGAAGAGUUCUUGAACAGGAGGUAAUCUGACACAAAGUGUAUUUACAGUAUAGAUACCUGAUGUAUUACUUCAUCAGCAAAUUCAACAAGGCCAGGAUGUCUUCAUUUCCUUCAGAGCAAGAGCAGUAAGAGCAGUGUGGUGGAAGUAUUGGUCUUGUGUGGCCAGCCGGCGAGAGCCAUCAGCAGCUGUGAUGAGCAGAGCAGACAUGGGAGACAGGAGGCAGCUCAAGCCAAAGAGGACCCACGCCUGGAGCUGUGUCUGUGUGAUUGGAGCAGAGAGAGGCCAGGACCCAAGGAAAUCCCAGCAGCAAGGGAAAAAAACAGAUUGACUCUCAGUGACUCAUUUAGCUCCUGGAUUGGACAGAUCUCUCCCCUGCUGGCAAUUUGGCUGAGCAUCAAUGGACAGAUACCAGGAUGAAUAGCUUAAAAUAAUUAGGGGUUGGGAAUUUGCAAAACUGCUAGCCAUCCAAUUCUUUACUGUGCAAUGUGAGGCAGAAAAAAAGAAAUUACAUUUAGGUUAUUAAAUAUUAAGUCAGUGGAUUUACUUCCAUUUGGUGCAGAACAGGAAACUGGCUAAAAUUCAACAUUUAUAUCAUUGUGUUGAUGGUCUGUUUAUCACUGAGCAAGUAAGUGCCUUUUGGCAGGUCAAGCUCUUUGACACAUGGGGCAAAUGUGUGCUUAAUUUCUCUCAAACAGAAGAAUUAAUAUAAUAAUAAUUAACACAGAUGAGAACAGAAUUAAAAUCAAGUACAGUCAAGAGUUCAGUUUAAUGCCAGGUGUCUCACAUUCUAAAUGUUCUGGGGCCAGAUUUUUCCUGUUGAAGGUAGCAAGGAUUUUUGCCUUUGUCACUUAUGGGAGCUGAAGUGGGCCUUGGAUGUAGAGAGACAGGAUUCCCUGUACUUUCUAUUUAAUGCACAAAACCAGAAGCAACAGGCUCAUUUAGUAUCAGUAAAGGUCAGUUAAAAUUAUAGAGACAUCCUUUGGAGCAAAUCCUCUGCCUUGUAUUUGCAUAUUUAUGAAUUAGAGAUUACGACAGGCUAUUUCAUUUAUUAGAGCAGCACUGCUAUAGUUAAUAGUCUGUCAGUAUUUCCAUUAUAAACCCCGUUUUUCAGUGUUUAAUAUCUCAGCCAUUUAAAAUCACAUCAGGAAGCAGCUUGGUCUUAUGUUGCUGGCCAGGUGCAUUUUUUUGUUAUGGAUUAUUUUCGAUAAUGAAAUACUGCUCAUCAUAUAUGCAGAUGAGCCACAGCAUUUCUGUUGGAGGGACAUAGAAAGGUGUGUAAAUUCAUUGUGGCUUUGUUUUUCUUUAGGAAAGAAGGGAAAAGGGGGAUUUGACCAAGCAUGUCAACUGUGGCCUUAUGUUUGAAGAGCACUUUUUGAAGCAACUCUUUCAGAGGAAACACUGGUUCUCAGUAGGAAAUCAGGUUGCUGUUUGCUUGCCAGUGGUGACCAAGAUAAACAAGUGAGGAUAGUUACCCUGUCCCUCUGAAAAAUCUUGUCUACAAGUCAUGGGUAAAGCACCCCAGGAAAGAAUGCAGUGAACAUAGAAGAGCCUUUAGAAGUAACAGGAGACCAAAUUACACAUUCAGAAAGCUGGCCACUUUUUAAGUAUCUGCCAGCAGCAGAGAAAUGCAGUACUGUCCUGACUUUAUUGCUGAUAUUUGGGGUAGAGGGGAUGCUAAGGCUUUAGGGGCAGUUAUAAAGUUACUUGCAUGUGUCCCUAAACUGAACAAUGUCAUUUAUUUCAGCAGUCUCACAUCAUUCUCCUUCCAAGCAGCCCCACUUUGCUUUCAUAGAGAUGUUAGUUCACUAAAAAGUAACUGCCUGACAAGGGCAAAUGUUCAGACUAAAAUACCAAUUUUUAACUUGCUAGGGCAGCAAAAAGUUACUCUUCAUAGUAGCUGAAAGAAGCUGGUCUUGCACUAUAACCUCAUGCCCUAUGAAAAAAGAAACAGUCUAAACAGAAACUCCUGGGGAGUGGUUUGUUUUCAAGGUCUUGAAAAAUCAUUUGCUGCCUCAGUAACUGACAAGUUAGAAAUCAAAUUCAUGAAGAGAAAAAAAAUGAAGCUAUAUUCAAAAUAUCUUUUGUUCUUUUGCCUCACAAACACAGUUGGAGGUGGGAACAUAGUCCAUAUUUUCCAUCUUUCUCAUCAUAAAGGUCUAUGUGCACAACUGAGGGUUCCAGGGAAACUAGCAAUGGCAGACCAAAAACACUCUGAAACAUCAUAUUCAAUCCAUUUGGUGCAUUGCAGCUAAUCAAACUAUGCCCUAGGCAAGACCCAGGGCUUGGCCUCUGUGCCACCUUCUGUAAAUUUUGACUGAAUCAAGAUUAACAGCAAGUUUAGAAGUUAUAUUACACAAAAAAAAAAAAAAAAAAUUAAGCUCAUGUAAGACAAGAUUGCAACAAAAAGUCUCUGUUCUUAAAUCCCCCAAAUCCAAAUGGUGAGCCAGACUGUUCAUCCAGUCUCUCAUCAACAUCAUGAGAACUAAGAGACCAAAUCAAGACACUCCACUCAGGCUUAUGGAAAAUCUGUUCCAAAUCCAAGUGGCAAGGGCUAAUCAGUAGUGCUUUCUUAAAACAACAAUAUUUGGGAUAUUUUGUAAAUAAUUGCUAACUAAAAGCGCAUUUUCCAGACUUCUUCCAGAGUUGCCAUUGUAAAAAAAAAAUAUUCCUUCCCUAGGCACAUCACAGUGCCUUUUCAGCCAAAAAUUAUCUCUGGUUGUGAGAAGUGAUCAUAACUCAAAAGGAGGCAGACUACAGAAAUUCUAACUGUUUUGAAUACAAAAUUACUUCAAAAGUCUUAUAAAAAAGGUAUAAUCCAAAGUAAGGGGGGGAGGGGGUUUCUGCCAAACAUGUAGAAAAUGUCAUAUAUUUUAAAAUGAAGUAUGAAGUAUUACAUGCUGUCUGCUGGAAAUUCUGUCCAGGUUCAGUAAGCUAUCUGGACAGCAUUGUUUACUAGAUACAUUUGUUAUUCUUUGUCUUUAAUUUGCUGUGACAUAAAAUCUUGCACAACUGACUUGAGUGCAUCUUUGAAUACUAAAAAUACUAAUUAUUAUGUAAUUAGUCAACAGGAUGUGUGUAAUUGUGCAAUACCAGCAUUCCUGGGUGUGGUUAAGUACAUAGGUAGAAUGCCAACACUCAUCUAGAUGUAGUAUUAUAAAGUUACACAACAACAUACACCCUGGGUGGAUACUCUAAUUAUAUUUUAUAUUUAAACAAUAGCUACAUUAGCAAAAUAGAACUUAUUAUUUUUAAAAAUAUCUUCCCACAGGCAUGGAUCAUAGUAGAUGAUGGUAAUAAUAUUGCCCAAACAGAGUAUCUUCCAUCUCCCAAGGGACUCAGCCUUCUUCCUAAACAUACAGAUAGGAGACAGAAACCAGGCAUAAAGAGGCCUUCAUUUACUCAUGGCAUAAAAACCACCCCAAAACAGACAUGUGACAAUUGCUGAGUCAUGCACCAGAAUAAUUGAAGGCAGAGAAUCACCAGGAAGGACUUUCUAUCUCAUGAAGAAUCACAUGAGAUUAACCAGAAAUGUGACUAGAACGGUUAUAUUUUUAUGACUUAACAAACAUCAGGAGAGUCCUUAAGCCACAGUGGAAACAGAACCACACAGUGAAUCAGAUUCUUCUUUGAACUAACCCAGAAAGAUUUAGGUUACAGCCAUCAAAUGUCUUGAACAUUUGAGUUAAUUCUGAUCUCUGCUAAGAUUUACUGCCAGUGUGAUGUAAAAGUCUGCUGCACUCCCAGCUAAAACUUCCCUGCCUGGUCAUCCUUCAUUCUUCCUGUGGUUCAUCUGCAGUGGCUGACAGGUAUGCAUGUCACUGGGACCAGUACUACAGAGAUGGUAACUUAUGCAGUACAAACAGAAAACAUGGCACACCAGUAUUUAUUCUCUUUUGAUAUGGCUUCAAGGUGAGAAAUCCAGGAGAAGAAUGGAAAGGUGAAAAUUCCAACACCAAAAACAAACCAAACCAAAAAACCCUAAGCUGUGACUCAUCAUUGAUGUAAAAUGUCAGAGCCUAAAGCUGUCUUUUUUUUCAUGUGCCUGGGUGCAGAAGGGUGAGGUGCCCUCUAAGGAUGAUUUUAUCUUUUACUUUUGAGUCUGAAAAUCUUGGAUGUGGUUUGGCAAGUUCAUAAAAAAUAUUGUGAUGAAGUUGAGUUGCCAUCUGGAAAUUAUAAAUAUAGAGAUGUAAGAAAGCUUGAGGAGAAAACCGAAGAUGAUGGAAGAAGAAUCAGCAGCGCACAUGAAUGAGGUUAAAAACGGCAGACAAUUAGCUACAAGAUGACUCCUACUAAAUAAAUCAUCAAAGACUUGACUACUGCUUCCAGGUUUCUACUGUGAUAUUAGCUCAUUGGAACAGUCAAAAAGAUGUUAAUUUGGCCAAAGUUUUAGAAAUGUUCUACUCUUGUUUGAAUUAACAGAUCAACAAACAAGGCCAAUCUAUAAUGUCUUGCCAAGGCUAUAAAGCUUCUAGGGAAGCUGUUAUAUUUAAUGCUCAGGAUCAAGGGCCCCAUGAUAUGCAAAAUAAGCCUCUUUGUGUUAAAUGAAAGCUGCACAGGAAAGAAAACCUGAGCUUGUCAUGGAAUUUCACAUCUCGUUUCAGCAUUCAAUAAAGUGCUUUGGGUGUCCAAUUUAAUAGAGAAGCACAAUUUAUUUUUUCAGUAUGCCUCUGCAGAUCAGGCCUUGCUCUGUUCUCAUUUAGACUUUAAUCUAAGAUUCAAAGUAAAAACAAAAUAUUCCAGUUGCUUCCAACAGGCAUCCAGUCAGUCUUGUGCCAAGGUUUUACUUAAAUGCAAAUUCAGUGCUAAGUUCCUCCCAAGAAAAAGAGGGGAAAGUGAUAGGAGUCUGCACACAACUUUCCAUCCUCAUGUUAUAUGCUGCUGAUAGAACCUAUCCUCUGACUUGGCAAAAACUUCUUAAUUUGUCUGGUCUUUCUGCAGGGUUGACUGGUAUUAAAAAAAUUCUCACCUCAACCUUCUUUAUUGCUGCAUCAAGGCAGCUCACUACAGUUGUACUCUUUUCUACUGCUUGAGAUUUACUUGUGUUCCUGGUGUGUUGUGAUAAGCCUCUGAAUGUCACUGCUGUGAAGGUUUUGUUCUUCCCAAAGACUCUCCUGAGGUUCAGCGAAGGCAAGUAGGGUUUGCUUGGGUUUAAAGGUAAAUUGUGUAUGUCACUAUAAUAAAGGGAAAUAUGCAAAGUGUUGGUUGAAUUUAAAAGGAAUUUGGAAUACUUGACUUGUCACAAGGCCAGUUGAUAAUAUGUGGACUUCUGAAAUUGCUUAUAGCAGGAGGACCUUACCCCGUGGUGAGUGCCAGGUCAAGGCCUAGUUCUCACAUACAUCUUCAAUUUAAACCAUCUUCAGAAUUAGUCCUAAGUCUUACUAUCACUCAGUAGUGUAAAAUAAAAAACAUGAUCUGAAAAACACUAGAGAGAAAUACUGGAGUUUUGCACAUCAAAAAGGCUAAUUAGAAACUCUUUUCUUUUAUAACAAAUAAGCCAAGCAUAUUGACAUUAAUUAUAGGAAAUACUCAAGGUCUGGAAUAAUCUAUUGAAGAGCACAGAUGUAUACCAAAUCCUAUGUAAAUGAGUGUGUGCAACUGUUCUUCAGGUAACACAUUUAUUUAUAAAAGUGAGCUGUGUGUUCGGGUUCCUUUUCAAGGGGUAAAAAAGGUUUCUUUCUCUUCCUUGCUCUUAUUCAACACAGUGAGAUAGUUAUUUCUGUAGUUAUACCUGUUCAUCACAGAUGCAUUCCAGGGGCUUGGAGCAGAUUCCUCCUGUACCUGAAGUAGUAGUAGUUCUGUUUGCUUUAUUCCGAUUAAUUCUGCAGUUGUUCUGUCAGCUUUACUGGAAUUGGAUCACCAUAACUAGCAGCAGAAUUUGUUCUCCUCUGGUGGUAAAAUUCCUUUGGUUUCAAAAAAGCUAAUGGAAUUCAUAACUGCUUUUGUAUUUUGCAAUCUGUGUCCCAGAGCUGACUAGUCACAUUGGUUUCUUAAAAAAAUACUACAACUACGAUUUGCUACAUUGCCCAUUAGUUUUGCCAGUGGAGACUCUUAACAACGCUGGGAAGAAAAUUUCACAUAUCCCUUCUUUUACCCUGUCUGGCUGCAAAGAAAUCCUCUUAACUUUUGAUAGCUUUACUUCAUGGGGGAAAGGUUCUUCUCUGUCAGGGCCAUGACAGGUGGGCUCAGCAGGCUGAAUCAUUCCACCCCAAAUGCUCCUUCCAUCUUACUCGCUGCCUCUAUACAGAUGAAAGAUGCUGUGCUUUCCAGGUCUAAUUUCAUUAAUGGAUCUCCCAAAUACUUGUCUGAGCGUACUCCUUAAAUUAGAUGAGAUGUCUACCUGCACUGUGGCCACUGUAGAUUAUCACCCAGCUGGGACUGGUAUGCUUCCUGAAGCCUGCUCCACAAUCUCCAAACUAUCCUACAAAUGUCAGGGCUUAGCACUUAUGCUCUUAGAAACACCCACCUGCAAGGGCAUAUGUUGGUAGUGAACUGUUGCUCUCUCCCAUCACUAGCAGAGAAUAUUAAUGUUGCCAUUGCUGGUUCAACUCCUUUAAUUCUCCCAAUUUUCCUAAAAAUUGUCCUAACAUUUCACAGGUGCGUCCAGAGCUACUGUGUCGGCACAAGUCCCAAAAAUCUCAUGAUAAAGUGUCUGCUUUCACUUCUUAGAUUCAAGCUGAUUAAAGGAUUUGAGGAAAAGUGCUGUGGGCAAUGAAGAACAAUGAAGAUCAUUUAGAUGAGCUGCAGUGCUACUGGUUCAAAAGAUGGGAUGAGUGGUAAAUUUUUCUGCAAAUCCGAAGGAACCAGAACAGGGAUGGUCAGCUUAGCAAGAGAAACCAAGGCACCAGUUGUAUGAUGUGAAGUGCUGCUGAAGUCAGUGGAGUUGCACUGCUAUAAAACCAGAUACAACAGAGCAGGUACUUAGCACUUAUGAAAUGCAAGCUCAAGGCAGGCUGUGAGGAACAUCUGCACUUAGAGAAGUCCUUCUGGAAAGCCAAUGGAAAUUAUUUGCUCAAAUAUUAUGCUCCUCCAGCAAUCAGUGGAACUAUUAGUUAACCUGAGGGUGGUCUCUUGCCCACUGCGAGCAUGGCAGGAUCCAUGUGAGGGGACAGAGGAAGAUACAGGCUCACAUUCCAGCAAAGAUGUCCACAGAGGGAUGCACUUCCCCCUGAGGAGCUAUCAGGUCCCUCUGACACCACUGCCUUCUAACACGGACGUUCUCCAGCCUGCAUCAGUCAUCACAGGACACAGCUCUUUUCAUACCUUCUUCCCAACGCUGUGCUGAGGCUCCUGUGGAAUUGCUGUCUGUCUGUCAGCGUUCCUACCUGUGCCUGUGGUCAGUGCUGAUACUCAGGUUUCACAUCAACCAGGAAUGGUACAAGCUUGGCCAGGGACUCCAGGCAGUGGCUGGUGGGUUCUGCAAGGCCUAGGGGCAGGAGCACUGUGGCUUCCCAGGAAUAUCACAAGCAAAUAGUUGUCAGCAAGCCCCAGGUGCACACAGGUAAGCCCAUCAGAUUGCUUUAAACUCUCAUCCCUUGUAUGAGCGUGAAAAUAAUCACCAUGUCAGAUAAACUUCUGCUUUUUAUUAAAAAAGAAAAAAACAAACAAAACAAACAAAACUUAUAAGGUAAUUGAUUGCUUUCUUCUAGUCUUUUAUUAGUUAUGAUUAAGGAGCUAUAGUAGCCCUGUUUACACAGCUCUAACAAGUCAGGACCUGCAGAAUGUUAUUGGCUUGGGGCCCACAACUUGCUGUCCAUUCUCAACAGAAUCAAUCUGGAGCUGAAAACAUCCCCGUAGGAAGCGUACACAUCCCUGCUUAUACAGGAACAGAAACAGCAAUAACUUCAGGUCCUGUAAGCUGCAAGUUCAACUUACAGAGAUCAGCCCUGACUUGUCAUCGCUCUCAGCAUGUUGGUGAUGAGAUCAGAGCACUUCACCAAGGACUCAUACUUCCAGCUUGACAAGGGACAGAGGUGAGCGUGUUACACCUCACUGUUCCUCGCCUCCAACUGCAGAAACGAAUCGAGAGCUCCUCUGUUUAACAUGCAGCCACAGCACUGCCAAUCUAAAAUGGCUGAUCAGUAAUACUUUAAUUGCAGUUUCAUAGAAACAAAUUGCUAUUUAAUUGCAAUAAGCUUGUCUGUGGCUUAGCUGGACUGACAAUAGGCAUACACCUGGUAGUAACAGUAACAAGCAUCAAGGGUUAUCUGGUACUGCAUGUACAGGAGUCUUAGGCAGUGCCAUCAAACUCAGAACACAAUUUCAAACUAAUUAAAUGUGUAACUUAAACAAAUGUAUAUACAUAAAUUUCCUAAUCUCAAUUUGAUUUUGUAAUAGAACCGUUCAGAAUAAAUACUUGGAAAAAGCUACACACUUCACAUACAACUACCAGAAAAACACUUUGAUAAAAGAUUUAAAUUGAAAUGAUCUUUUGAAAUCACAGAAC
Non-coding RNA from Cyanistes caeruleus (blue tit), 11533 nucleotides. The record is from RefSeq and is a predicted model, not a curated record. NCBI's taxonomy places the organism in Eukaryota, Metazoa, Chordata, Aves, Passeriformes, Paridae.